RNAcentral lists this unclassified non-coding RNA (312 nucleotides) under Basidiomycota sp. RNAcentral's name for it is "partial contains small subunit ribosomal RNA, internal transcribed spacer 1, and 5.8S ribosomal RNA". The stretch from base 1 to 47 matches the Rfam family "Eukaryotic small subunit ribosomal RNA", at positions 1785 to 1831 of the family's 1831-position model. The record is from RNAcentral. Lineage: Eukaryota; Fungi; Basidiomycota.
AAAGUCGUAACAAGGUUUCCGUAGGUGAACCUGCGGAAGGAUCAUUAUUGAAUAAACUUGGUUGGGUUGUUGCUGGCUCCUAGGAGCAUGUGCACGCCUGAUCCAUUCUUAACCACCUGUGCACCUUUGUAGACUUGAACGGUUCUCGAGACAAUGUACUCGGUUUGAGGAUUGCUGAUGCGAAAGCGCGGCUUUCCUUGUGUUCAAGUCUAUGUCUUAUUACACCCCAUCAGAAUGUAUUAGAAUGUGAUGAAUAGGCCUCUGUGCCUUUAAACACAAAUACAACUUUCAACAACGGAUCUCUUGGCUCUC